GGGUUAAAUCCUAGUUAUUACAG
This 23-nucleotide small nuclear RNA is filed under the name Arabidopsis thaliana (thale cress). Its description in RNAcentral is "snRNA_12295". Lineage: Eukaryota; Viridiplantae; Streptophyta; Magnoliopsida; Brassicales; Brassicaceae. The record is from RNAcentral.